CGCUCGAACGCGCUCCUACGACCCUCACGCGUCGC
Molecule: ribosomal RNA, 35 nt
Filed under: Quercus pubescens
Lineage: Eukaryota; Viridiplantae; Streptophyta; Magnoliopsida; Fagales; Fagaceae
Description: partial 25S ribosomal RNA
Source: RNAcentral